Rhagoletis pomonella (apple maggot) is the source of this 3565-nucleotide long non-coding RNA. RefSeq lists it as uncharacterized. Lineage: Eukaryota; Metazoa; Arthropoda; Insecta; Diptera; Tephritidae. The transcript has 6 exons. The record is from RefSeq and is a predicted model, not a curated record.
AAUGAAGAUAGUGACAAGUUUAAAUUUUAAACUGAUGCCCAAAAAUUGGCACACGGUAACUCUGGUGAAAAGCGAAGUGCGCAUGUAAGAAGCAGAAUUAGAAAAUUCGAGAUCACGUGGCUGUAAAACCAAACUUAAUAAAAAGAAUUAGACAGAAAAAUAAUUUGGAGGAAUUCAACGGAAAAGGAUAAGUAUUACAAUUAUUGUAAAUAAAAAAUUAGUAAAAAGACGUUUUCAAACCUAAUGAGCAAAGAAAAACAAAUUUAUCUGUCAAGCGCAAAAAAAUAUAGAAAGCUUGAUGAAUUUGCUCAAAGAAUUGAAAACGCUAAUAAUAAUGAUAAUAAGCAUUAAUAGUGAUAUAAGUGAUGCAAUAGAUGUGGAAAUUAGUGAAACAUUUGGCGAAAUACCAGACAAGUGUAGUGAGAUGAAAUCUUGGGUAGUGCGAGAUAACAUCUCGCAAAAUGCCGUAAACGAUCUGCUCCAGAUGUUGAGGAGAGUUGGUGUUCAAGGUUUUCCAAAGUCAGCAAAAUCCCUUCUGGAAACAAAUCGGCAGAAAUCUGAAAUACAAAAAUUGUCCCAAGGAGAUUUUGUUUACUUUGGAAUUCAGAACCAUUUUAUAUCCAACAGUUUCUCUUUCCUAAAUAACACCAGCGAAAUACUAAUUGAUGUAGGCAUCCACGGACUUAAGUUAUUUAAAAGUUCUAAUAAAGUUUUAUGGCCGAUAUUAGGAUCGCUAGUAGGGUUCUAAGACCAAAGUCCGUUUCCUAUCGCCUGCUUUUCUGGUACCAAAAAACCGGAAAAUAUUGACGAUUUUAACGCGUGCUUUUUGUGAAGAAGUGGUUUUAUUAAGAGAAAUUGGGCUUAAAGUCGGAUAUAGUGAAAACCUUAAAAGAUUGAAUAUCCGCCUUUUUACUUGUGAUACGCCUGCCCGCUCUUUUGUCACUGGCGUUAAAUCCCAUAAUGCAAUAAACGGGUGUCCAAAAUGCAGUCAAGUGGGAAAAUAGAGUAAGCUUCUCAAAACAACUUCAUACACCUCGAUCAGAUUCUUCUUUUGCACUUCGCACCGAUAAAUUGCAUCACAGAGUACAAUUUGAAAAUGCAAAGAGUUUAGUUGAGCUUUGUGGGUUUGGAAUGGUAUCUCAAUUUCCCUUGGACGUGAUGCAUUUAGUGGAUUUAGGAGUAAUGAAAAAAUUGCUUCAUCUUCUAAUGAAAGUAGGAAAUGUUACUAAAAUGAACGAAAAAAUGAAUUUAGUGAAAAAAUAUGUGCCAAAAGAAUUUGGUCGCGUUUCAAGAAAUUUAGAUGAAAUUUCAAAUUGGAAAGCAACUGAGUUUAGGCAGUUGUUGCUGUACUCUGGGGUAUUUAUUCUCAAAGAUUGUAUACCGAGCGACCAUUAUUACCAUUUUUUGUUACUGCAUUCAGGUAUCCGUUUAUUGUCUAGUGAAAGAUCUCAUAGCAAAGAAAGUAAUGUAACACAAAAAAUACUAGAACAGUUUGUGAAUAUAUUUGGCGUUAUUUAUGGCAAGCAUUUAAUUAGUUUCAAUGUCCAUGGAUGACUACAUCUUUCAGAAUGCGCAAAACAAUAUGUACCUUGAUAGUUUCUCAGCAUACAAGUUUGAGAACUAUAUGCAACAUAUAAAGAAGAUGAUAAAAAAGCCGAAUCAUUUUGCAACAAAUGUGUUUAAUAGUCCAAGAGAGGUAUUCAUUAAGUGUUUCAGCUAUCAAGACCACCAAUUAUGAAAUGCAGUUUGAUAUUUAUUGCAAAGUUGAGAAAGAAUGUUAUCACUGCAGUGAAAACUUUGGUCCGUUAAAAGUUAUAGGUACAGAUUCAGAAAGUGAUAACUAUUUGGCUUAUACAUUUAUGGUUACUAAAGAUUACUUCAAUGAGCCCCUAAGACCUUUUUCAGGUCUUGGUAUAGUAGUAGGUAGUCACUUAGAUACUAGCAAUUUUUAAAAAUACUGAAAAAUGACAAAGUAUAAAUAUUUUUGUAUUACUACUGAAGGAAAGUAUAUUUUAAUUCCGAUCCCGCAUCACCUAGUUCACGAAUUCACACUUUAAAGAAAGAUAAAAGACAAAUACUUAAAAAUAUUUUUAUUUUUACUACAGAAAUAGAGACAGCCACUAUUUUUGAAGGCGUGCUCUUAAUUCCAGUAUAUGACGAAGUUACUAUUGCCACAACAAUUCCCAGAUUGCAACUGUCAACAAGCGAUUGUAACAAUACACCCUUCAAAAAGAGGAAGGUCUUUGCAGCUGUGGAAAAUACCCAGCCAUCACAAGCAAACGAUGUGACUGACCUACUUCACAAGAUUGUCGAAACCAGGAGAGGAUCGAGAAGAAAAUUGAUACGCUUGCACAAAAUUUCUCUUUUUAUUUUCAGAUGGUUGACAAAACAGAGUUUAUGGCAACAAACAAGCUACUGCGUGAGACCAAGGUGUCCGUAACACUCAUCAAAAAUUCUAUAGCCACCAUAACCGGAGAAAAUCCUGACGAGUUACUCUUUUACCGAUAAACUCAUUAGCCGCAUUGUAUGAUAUUGAAGAAAAGCUAAAGAAAGAAGAAUAUGAGAGAGUUAUGACCGCAGUGCUGUAUAAACUCAAAGGUGUUUCUGAGGACGUGGGCAGUAAAAUGAAAAAAGUGUUCACGGACGAAUUACUUCAUCUAUUUAACUAUGAUGGGCGGUGCGAAAAGAAGGCUUUAAACCAGCUAUUGCUGGUAGACAAAUUAAUGUCUGGACGCAAACAAUUUGAAAAAGGUAUAAAAAAGGCGGUGGAGCUCAGAACCAAGCAAAACAGAUUUUUAGAUAAUAAGAAGGCAAAUGUGUCCACAAUAUUAAACACAUAAGUAACUAUAUGUAUAAUCUGCAGAAGUCUUAAAGUACUGACACUUAAAAAAUAUUUAUGAAUUACAUUUUUUUAAUUAUACAUAAAUAUACAGUAUCGGCCAUAUCAACAGUACCCCUAUUUCAAUAUUCUUUGCCACAUAUCUAUAUUUAUUUAUUUUUAAAAAUUUUCAAUUAAAAUACAGUUCAUCUCAGAAGUUGUAGAAUUUAUUUAGUAUACAGUUUUAUAGCCCAUUCAUUUUUAGUGCCAGUUUCAAGUGGUUAAAAAUUACCGUUGAUUUUGUAUAUUUUUUUUUCGAAGUUGUUGCGUGUUGUUUCUUCCAUAUAAAAAUAAAUUCAGCCUCAUUGCUUACGUCGUAAAUCAUGCUAAAUUGUACGACUCGACAACAUUGGCAUUGCCUACUGUCGUGCUGGAAUAAGUAAACGACGAAAAUCGUCGAAAACUAUGUAGUGCUGCCAAUACACUAGUCGAGUCGAAAUUUAAGACAAUGCCAUGCAAUUUUCGAUGCGACUCGACUCUCGAAAAACGACUUGCAAAGGACAUGACGCUCGCAAUCAGGCUGAUUGUGUUUAUUCGUUAUAUGUAAGCAAAUGCGACAAAAAAAAUUCUUAAAAAUCCACGGUCAUUUUUAGCUAAUUGAAACUUGAAUAUUAUUAGACUAAAAGUGAAUGGACUAUAAAACUGUGUACUCAAAAAAACUAUAUAACUUCUGAGAAAAAAGUUGGA